Molecule: ribosomal RNA, 301 nt
Filed under: uncultured bacterium
Lineage: Bacteria
Description: partial 16S ribosomal RNA
Rfam family: Bacterial small subunit ribosomal RNA
Source: RNAcentral
CAGCAGCCGCGGUAAUACGAAGGGGGCUAGCGUUGUUCGGAAUUACUGGGCGUAAAGGGCGCGUAGGCGGCCAUUCAAGUUAGAUGUGAAAGCCCUGGGCUCAACCUAGGAAUUGCAUUUGAUACUGUUUGGCUUGAGUUCGGGAGAGGUGAGUGGAAUUCCCAGUGUAGAGGUGAAAUUCGUAGAUAUUGGGAAGAACACCAGUGGCGAAGGCGGCUCACUGGACCGACACUGACGCUGAGGCGCGAAAGCGUGGGGAGCAAACAGGAUUAGAUACCCCGGUAGUCCCUGUCUCUUAUAC